This is a non-coding RNA of Drosophila melanogaster (fruit fly), 263 nucleotides long. Lineage: Eukaryota; Metazoa; Arthropoda; Insecta; Diptera; Drosophilidae. The record is from Ensembl.
GUUUAUAUGGUCUGGUGUAGAGCAGUCGGCAAAGCAUAUUCAAAUGAAAUCGACGUUCCUGUUCUGGAUUGAGGCGAUCUUCCAGGAAAUAUCGAUAUCGAGGCACGUGUCAUCUCCUGACUAUCUGAUGAGAUGCCCAUAUAUGAUGGGUGUGCGAUUUGUCACAGCGUCCAAAAUGGGGCAUUCAAUGCUGGUGAAGUCGGCGAUGGGCUUGUGAAAAUAUUUUACUUCAUAGUCGGAGAACGGAUUGUAUCCGAUGGGGG